Triticum aestivum (bread wheat) is the source of this 3299-nucleotide long non-coding RNA. RefSeq lists it as uncharacterized. The transcript is spliced from 3 exons. The record is from RefSeq and is a predicted model, not a curated record. NCBI's taxonomy places the organism in Eukaryota, Viridiplantae, Streptophyta, Magnoliopsida, Poales, Poaceae.
GAUGCGCAGACCACUGUAGAAACUCCCGACCCGUCCCCAACCUAACCCGCCUCCUAUCGCCGGAGGCAGCCGUCCCGAGCGAGCGACGGCACCAGCCGGAGCGAGGGAGCCCGCGGCGCCGUGAUGGGUCGCUCCUCCGACCCACGCGCUGCCGCCGGCCGCCCUCCGCCUCCAACCUUCGGCCCCGCGCUGCGCCCCCCCCGCCUCCCACAUCCGGCGACCCGCCGCGCCCCCCGCUCGACUCCCUCCUCGGCGACGGGCCACCGCCCGGCCUCCUCCCCGGCGCGCCACCGCCCGGCUCCCUCCCCGGUGACGCGCCUCCAGACUCCUUUCCCCGCCAAUGUACACUGCGUGACCCAAGCGCCCGGCUGCCUCAGGGCAUGUCCAACGCGGGCGCUUAGGGACGAGCGCCAGGAUUAGAUUCCCGGCCAAUUAGCGGUUAAUCUGUUGAAUCCUGAUGUUAUGCGCUGCAUCGACGCAAGAUGAUGCGCCGGCCGCUUGCCCGUUUUUGUGCAUGCUCUGACCGCUUGACUACUUAAUUUACUCCGUGGAAUUAGCGCCUGCCGUUGUAAGCCUGGGCGCUUAGGCGUUUUUUCUAUUUUACAAUCUUUAUUUUAUUUUUGGUUAGCGCCUCCAUAAGCGGCUCUCAUUGUAGAUGCCCUCAUACGAGGUUGCACGCCGCCGCCGGCCCAACCGUCCCCGUCAGGAUCCCCCGCCUCCCACCGUGGCUCCUCGCCGCCACCAUGGGAUCCCAGCCGGCAGGCUCCCACGAGCGCCCCGUGCCCAGCCGUCUCGCUUCCAUCAUCGGUAAUCGCCCCUCCACCAUGCCUCCUCCCACAACCCCGAUCCAGAUACAGAGACCUCCACCAGGAUGCACGUCGGUCUCACCGUGGUCACAUCAGAAGUCCAACUGGUCGCUCCAUGGCCGGUCGCUCAAAGUGCUGCGUAUAGGCCACCCCGUGCUCUACCCCUAGGCCUGGCUCAACUUUCUCCCUCCCAUCCUAUCUCUCAUCUGCCUACUUGUCCUGCUCUGUUUCCAUCUCCUGAACUAUUUAUCAUGCAUCAACUCUCUCGCUAUGUGGUUUUCUUGCUCCCUCUCUCGUAGCUACAACAUGGUCACAGACUAGCUGAUGGAUCCAAAAAAUGAUUAUGGAUAAUUGUUGUUCUGAUCUCUAGUUUCUAUUAACUGAUGGGUAAGAUUCUCUCUCUGAUGCUCCCUCAUCCUUUGUAGUUUGUGUGAACUGAUAGUUUAGACUCGAUGAAAUCCGUUGUUUGUAGUUUGUGUGUACUGAUAGUUGAGACUAUGAAUUCCAUGCUUUGUAGUUUGUAUGAACUGAUAGUUAAGACUCGAUGAGCUCCAUGCUUUGUAGUUUGUGUGAACUGAUAGUUGAGACCUCGAAGAGUUGUCCAUCUCGACUUGGUGAACUCAUAGAUGAUAGUUUUGUGAAGUGAAAAUUCUUUUUCAAGUUCUUGUGGUAUUUAAUACUUUGUGAGCUGAUAGCUGAUACUUUGAGAUGGACGUAUAAUCAGGCAUGAAAAUAAUGUCAAAUACGUGCAGUUUAAUGGAUGAGUGUUAUCUAGAUCCUUUUAAUCUGAAGGUAGUUGCACCACUAAGGAAAUUAAAAAAACAAUAUUUUCUAUUGACAAGAAAUGGAAAUUUGGCUUAGUAAUCGUCCAUUACUAGAGGUAUUGUCACUUGACCGUUUUCCAGAACUAGUUUCAGUUCUUGGACUACCGGCACUUCCAAAAUCAAAGACGCCAUAUCAAAGUGCUCAAAGUUGAAGCAAAGGAGAUGAGAUGCUAAAAAAAGGUACACAUGCUAACAGAAGUUUUACCUUCCAGCCUUUACUCCGCUCUUGUCUGAAGUUUCUGAAAGCAAAUCAUUAACUUGAAACUCCCCACCUCUUCAACGGGUCUAGCUAUAGCUGCAGGCAGUAGAGGAUAAAAAAUGCAUGGAUUAAUUGGAACUAAUCACACAUAGGCUAUGGGCUACGGAUCACAUACACAUAUUAGAAAAAUGUGCUAUAGAUUAGAUUGAUUGAUACCUCCUAGUGUAGUAUUUCUGUAAGUGUAUUUGGUCUGCACUUAUAGGAUUUAGGGAAGUACUACAAAAAUGUCUUGCAUAAAUUAUGUGCUAAAUUUGAUGCUCUAUAAUUGCUUGUCAAAAUGCCCCUACGAGAACCAAAAUAUUUGGAUAAAAUUUGAUGUUGUUGUUCCUAUAUUCUAGAUGAAUUUCAAUCAUACUAUUUUGCUACAACAGGCAUGUACUUGCUCUGUUUGCAAAAUAGUUCUCUUGCAGUUUUCUGUGUUGUAAUUUUCCUCUGUCAAUCCAACAAAAGCAGCAGUUCUCUUCGCAGUACACAGCACAAAUUGGUGUCAAGUCAGCGGAAAAAUAAUAAUUGCAUCAGUUCAGAUUCGAGAUGGUGUAAGUGCAGAAGAAAAAAUGGUAGCAGUAAAGGUUCAAGAUUGAAAAAGUUGUAAGUUCAACGCGACGUCCCAGAUAAGUUCGUGAAAAUAUAAAAAAAUGAAACCCCAAUAGGAAUUCGAAUGGUAAAAGUUCAAGUCACAAAUUCCUACUUGGCCUGGAUAGCUCAUAUACACUUUAAUCUUGUAAUUUAAAAGUUCAAGUGACAACUUUGGAGAUGAUUGUUUGCAAGUAGUUUACUUUGAUGAUUCUGUAAUUGCAUCAGGCCAUUACAAAAAAUUGCUCUGGAAGUUCAAUAUUUAUUUCAAUUCAUGAAAUAAAUACAGUGCCCCGCCCCGCCCCUGCUGCUUGCUAGCUGUCGGUGGUGUGUGCGCGCUGGUCGCUACUGCUGUUUGUUGCUGCUGCAGGGUAAGAUAAUACAGAGAUUAAAUACAACUUUGCUACACGGGCCAGCCCCUAGCACUCCGGUUGAUGAAGAUGCUGAUUUGACAAAAGGAUCAGUGAAGCACUGGGCGAUCGAGACACUUUCUUCAUCAGAUGGUGUACUGCACGACAUACUUCCGUUAGUUGAAGAUGAUACAUGGAGUAGUGACCUAAAUAAGUUGAAGAAAAAUUCUGCAAGUUUGGUGCAUGUGCUGCUCCAAAUCUAUUGUGUGUCUGCGAGUAGCUAUUGUAUGUCUUCUGAAUCAUGAUGUAUGCUAUUCUUUGGUACAUGUCUUAAGUGUGCGUACGGAAGGCCGAGAAGUUCUAUUGCUGGUAUACGCCAAGUUCAGAGGCGUUUCCGCCAACGACGCUGAAGCAGCGGUCAAAAUUAAACUCGGUUCAGUUUGUGCGUAUUCUUUUUUUUAUACAUCAAGUUGUGAAUAUGAGUUAA